Molecule: unclassified non-coding RNA, 532 nt
Filed under: Hevea brasiliensis (rubber tree)
Lineage: Eukaryota; Viridiplantae; Streptophyta; Magnoliopsida; Malpighiales; Euphorbiaceae
Source: RNAcentral
GCUUUAUUAGGCUUGAAUCCUUUAUUUAGUUGCAAGAAAAUCCUUAUAGAUCCAUUUUGCCUCAUUCAUGCACAUAAGUAGGGCUGAGCAUUCGAUUGAUUUGAUUCAAAAUCGAACCACCCCCCUGAAAUCAAAAACCAAAUUUCAAAUAAAAAAACACAAAUGAACCAAACCAAAUGAAACCAAAUCAUUUCGAUUAGAUUCAGUUCAAGACCAUUAGUUUGCUCUCAAGCUCAAACGUCCAAUGAAGAAAUGUAAUUUAUCCAAAAUGUAAUAGCUGGAAUUUUAUUAGAGUCUAGAAGAUUUGUUAGAGCUAAAUUGUAACACCCACCAAAUUCCCAUUGUCAGUAAGAAUCUAGGGUUUCAAGGAUGAGAGGUGUGUGUGAAAACAAUUUUUAUAGCGUUAUAUGUGGUGAUGGAGAGUUUAGAGUGAGAGAGAUGAAAGUUUAAGUAAUAAAAUCGUUAAAUUGGGCCAAAUGGAUUUCGACAGCUAAAAGUCCCUUUUUCAAGAUGGGUAUAAAUUGGCCUAGGC